This is a long non-coding RNA of Spodoptera frugiperda (fall armyworm), 606 nucleotides long. RefSeq lists it as uncharacterized. The transcript is spliced from 2 exons. Lineage: Eukaryota; Metazoa; Arthropoda; Insecta; Lepidoptera; Noctuidae. The record is from RefSeq and is a predicted model, not a curated record.
UUACUAAAAUUUCAGUAUAUCCUGUACAUUGGACACGCUGUAUAUUGUAUAAUAUACAAGUAUUAAAUAAAUCAUAAUUAUUUAUAUCAUAUCAGCCGCAAGACGUCCGCUGCCGACGGAGAGAGAGAAUAUCUCGGAAAGCAAAUAGUCAUGAAGGUUUUUCUAUUGUUGUUAUUCUUCGUUGCUAUAGUAACAACCACUAUGAGCCAUCCACGGAUGUGGAGAUCGUGGGGAAAACCUCCAACCGCACCAACCGCAACUAUAAUCAUCAUAAACCCUACUAAACAAAAGGAGGUUCCUGUAAUGUUCUCAUUAUCAAAAAUCUUCAACUCUUACAACCAAAUCAAACCUAAACCCCCACCGACAAAAGAUAAAAUAAAAUUACAUGAUAAAAUUAUGAAGCAAAAUAUGGUAUAGCCAGCGCCCGCAGUUCUAUCUACAACUUUCUGAAUUACUUUAUUACUAUAUUACAUUUGAACGGGUUAGAAGUCCCACCCCUAUCACAUUGUAUAUAUAAAGAUAAGUUUUUGUGUAUGUGUAUGUUUUUAUAAUCCUUGUAUCUGUGUGCAUGUCUACUGUCGAAUAAAUGCUUUUUCUUACUUUCAA